Molecule: transfer RNA, 72 nt
Filed under: Anguilla anguilla (European eel)
Lineage: Eukaryota; Metazoa; Chordata; Actinopteri; Anguilliformes; Anguillidae
Rfam family: tRNA
About the family: Transfer RNA (tRNA) molecules are approximately 80 nucleotides in length. Their secondary structure includes four short double-helical elements and three loops (D, anti-codon, and T loops).
Source: Rfam by way of RNAcentral
GAUUCCAUAGUGUAAUGGUUAUCACAUCUGCUUUACAUGCAGAAGGUCCUGGGUUCAAUCCCCAGUGGAUCU